This 253-nucleotide ribosomal RNA is filed under the name uncultured bacterium. Its description in RNAcentral is "partial 16S ribosomal RNA". It matches the Rfam family "Bacterial small subunit ribosomal RNA", at positions 524 to 776 of the family's 1533-position model. The record is from RNAcentral.
UACAGAGGGGGCAAGCGUUAUUCGGAAUUACUGGGCGUAAAGCGCGUGUAGGCGGCAAUGCAAGUCGGGCGUGAAAUCCCACGGCUCAACCGUGGAAGUGCACUCGAAACUGCAUAGCUAGAGUCCUGGAGAGGAAGGUGGAAUGCUUGGUGUAGAGGUGAAAUUCGCAGAUAUCAAGCGGAACACCGGUGGCGAAGGCGGCCUUCUGGACAGUGACUGACGCUGAGACGCGAAAGCGUGGGGAGCAAACAGG